CCAAAGGCUCUUUUCAGAGCCACCCACAGCCCCGAGAAAGAGCUUG
This is a regulatory RNA element of Amazona aestiva (blue-fronted amazon), 46 nucleotides long. It matches the Rfam family "Histone 3' UTR stem-loop". From Rfam's summary of the family: The mRNAs of metazoan histone genes lack a poly-A tail. 3' end processing occurs at a site between a highly conserved stem-loop (modelled by this family) and a purine rich region around 20 nts downstream (the histone downstream element, or HDE). The stem-loop is bound by a 31 kDa stem-loop binding protein (SLBP - also termed the histone hairpin binding protein, or HBP). The record is from Rfam. Lineage: Eukaryota; Metazoa; Chordata; Aves; Psittaciformes; Psittacidae.